RNAcentral lists this long non-coding RNA (2649 nucleotides) under Triticum aestivum (bread wheat). Its description in RNAcentral is "long non-coding RNA (TAES_LNC015095)". The record is from RNAcentral. Lineage: Eukaryota; Viridiplantae; Streptophyta; Magnoliopsida; Poales; Poaceae.
AGGUAGCUUAGCCCUGUCAUUCUGUUCCAGGUUUUAUACACUAGGAAAAAUCAAUCUGUGAUUUAUUUUGACAUAAAUAGCACCUCCUGUCUGUUAUGAAUAACAUCCAUGUGAGUGCAACCUAAAUUACAACCAUCUCUACACCUACAUUUUCAUCUCUGAUAUCAAAAUUGCUUUGCUUGCACCUCUGCAGAACGGAGCGUCACUUGUUAAUCAAACACCUUUCAGGGAAGCAUUUGUGAACACACCAUCAAGGUAAAGCCAAACAUACAUGGCUUGUACCUCCUCUUCUUUGCUAAACUGGUGCAGCUGAAACAAAAAAAUACUUGUUUUUUAGCCUUCUAUCAACUGAAUGUCCUAGCUAGGAGUAAUACUAGUGAUUGGCUUUCAAAAUGAACAAGAGAAACUAAAUUUGCGCACCAAACAUGUUUAUUUAUCUACACUUUCACUAUGUGGAAUUGCAUACUAACAUACUACUCCCUCCGUCCAAAAUAUAUAAACCAAAAUAUAUCCAAUAAUGUUGUGAAGCUUAGCUUUGUGAAACUGCUCGACCAUGCUAAUAUAUUUAAUAAUGUUGUGAAGCUGACUACCAAUUUGAUGUGAAGCAUGCUUCAUAUUUAGUACAAACUAGUUAAGGACAGAUGCCUAUUUGCUAAAAUGGUGCUAUUGACGGCAUACUCUUGCUUUUUUGAGCUCUCUAUUAACUGAGGUACAACUACAGUAGUGUUUGACUUUUCAAAAUGAAGAGCAGAAAUUAAUUUUGUACCCCCAAACAGAGAUAAACAAGUUUAUUAGCUGACAUUAUCCAGGGAGUGCCAGGCACAAACAAGCUUCUGAGAAUGCAUUUUGUUAAGCUGGGUUCAACAAUGAUGGAAUCAGUGUAACCUGUUUGAUCAUUUCAUCUUAUUUUACCUUGUGCUGCACAUCAUCAUCCACAUCUGGCGCACAAUGUGAGAAGAGAACAUAAAUGAAGUAGCAUAACUUACUGCCUUUCUUUCUGGUGCUUGCAGGAAGCAGGUAUAACAUGCAGAUGAACGCUCAAAGAUGCUGAAUGAGUUGAAUAAAAAGUCUUCAUUCAAAACUAUUCAUAAACUGUUAAAGAAAUUUUGAGCAUGUUUGCUAUACAUACGAGAACGUAGACCGAGUGCUAGUAAGUCAUGGUCCAUUUGGGGUGAAAUGUUCCUAAUUAUUAAUUGCAGAAUGUUGGUGAAAGCUUUAGCGUUAAAUUAAUUUCAUUAGCAUUGGGAUGUGUAUGAUUUCGUUACUAACUUGAUGCCAAGGGAUGUGGUUCAAAAAGUCAACUUACAGUGACCAGCAGUCUAAAAUCAAGAUUAAGCACUGGCUCGGGUAAAGCUGCACUCCCCUAGCAGAGAUGCAUCUAGACCAUUUGUUUGACUGGGUAUUUUUGGUUUAUUUCUACAACCCGGCAGCUGGGUUAGUUGAUUUGUGCUUAUCCUUGUUUGUAGAAAUAAUUGUCUUUCUCUUGAGAAGGAUAGCAGUAGUAGGCAGGAGGGUAACAUAAAACGAUUACCUAGAGCCCAUGGGUCAUAAGACACAAGACAUCAUAUGUUGUGGCACUAGCAAAUUCAUUUCGCGGAGUUGCAGGUCGCCUGCAUAUACCUGGACAUGGAAAGGGGUAGAUCAUAUCAUAAUCCAAGGUCCUGAUGAACACACACACACACACACAUGUACAGUAAGGAAAUUGCAAAACUGUUGCCUCUGUGUGAGAAAUCUCCAUGGAUGUACAGAGUGUGUGUGUGUGUGUGUGUCUAAGCUGCUACCCCACUAGAGCACGUGAACAACUUCCAUUGCGCAUCCCCGAAGGAUGAGCAACGGAAUGGACACACCAGAUUUUUUUUCCUCUGUUCGAGUUCUUCCAUGGGGCUACUUAAUCACAUAUCCCAAAGAAAUGUUUCAUACUCCAAUGGCUUCCCUAUGAGCCAAGGAAUCCAACAAGAUGCCAAUAAACAUGCAUAUAUGUACAACAAGGAAAUUGAAAAAAAGAAGCACAAAUAUGAUAGCCUGCAGCAUGAAAAGGCACAUAAAUUUUGGUAAAUUAUUGUGUUUUUGUUCCACUAGAAUAUAAAAAUCAAGAUCUUAUUACUUGGUAGAAACACAAAAAUACUACUCCCUCCGAUCCAUAUGACCUGUCGCUCAAACGCAUGUAUCUACUGCUAGAUACAUCCAUUUGAACAAUAACUAAUAUGGAUCGGAGGGAGUACCAAAAAUCAAAUAGAAGGCCCUACACUCUCUCAUGAGCAUGAGAGCAUCUGCCCUUUCAUUCACUAACUAAAACAAAUGCUAACUAAUUACUCCCUCCUCAAGCAUCUCUUCUUUCACAUACAUUUUGAGACCUCAGCAGUUUGGCAAAAUUUAAUAGAUAGAAACAAAUAAUAUCAGUAAACUGUCUAGUCAGACCAAAACAACAUGAAAAAAGUUAAAGGUUUAAAAUAAAUUCUAUAUCUCAGGUACUUUUUUAUAUUUUUUGGAUGAGAAACUAUCAUGACAGAGUAGGGGAAAAAGAGAGGAAUUGACAAUAGAACGAUUACCGAGAGUUGACUAUGCAUCAGGAUCUAGGCACCUUCACAAGCAAGAAGUCAAAUGCAGCAGCAGCCCGCCUGUCACGAGCAAAGCAGGGCGGCUAUGUGC